UGAAUACGAGACGCUAAGGCGUUGAAGUAGUGUAUGUCAUACUUCCAAGAAAAGCUUGCACUGUCAUAGAUAAAAAACGCCUGUACCAUAACCGACACAGGUGGGUAGGUAGAGUAUACUAAGGGGCGCGAGAUAACUCUCUCUAAGGAACUCGGCAAAAUAACUCCGUAACUUCGGGAGAAGGAGUGCCUUAUUUAUAAGGCUGCAAUAACAAGAUCCAAGCAACUGUUUAUCAAAAACACAGGUCUCCGCUAAGUCGUAAGACGAUGUAUGGGGGCUGACGCCUGCCCAGUGCCAGAAGGUUAAAGAAGUUGGUUAGCAAUAGCGAAGCUGAUAACUGAAGCCCUGGUGAACGGCGGCCGUAACGAUAACGGUCCUAAGGUAGCGAAAUUCCUUGUCGGGUAAGUUCCGACCCGCACGAAAGGCGUAAUGAUUUGGAUACUGUCUCGGAGAGGGGCUCGGUGAAAUAGACUUGUCUGUGAAGAUGCGGACUACCUGCACCAGGACAGAAAGACCCUAUGAAGCUUUACUGUAACUUGAAAUUGAAAUUGGACUUUAUUCGCGCAGUAUAGGUGGGAGGCGUUGAUUGUAAUCUUGCGGGAUUAUUGGAGCCAUCAGUGAGAUACCACCCUUGUAAUGUUAGAUUUCUAACUUUGAAUCAUUAUCUGGUCAAAGAACAGUUUCAGGCGGGCAGUUUGACUGGGGCGGUCGCCUCCUAAACGGUAACGGAGGCGUACAAAGGUUUCCUCUGAACGGUUAGAAAUCGUAUCUAGAAUGUAAAGGCAUAAGGAAGCUUGACUGUGAGACCUACAAGUCGAGCAGGGACGAAAGUCGGUCUUAGUGAUCUGACGGUACUGAGUGGAAAGGCCGUCACUCAACGGAUAAAAGUUACUCUAAGGAUAACAGGCUGAUCUCCCCCAAGAGUUCACAUCGACGGGGAGGUUUGGCACCUCGAUGUCGGCUCAUCGCAUCCUGGGGCGGUAGUACGUCCCAAGGGUUGGGCUGUUCGCCCAUGAAAGCGGUACGCGAGCUGGGUUCAGAACGUCGUGAGACAGUUCGGUCCAUAUCCGGUGUAGGCGUUAGAAUAUUGAGAGGAGCCUUCUUUAGUACGAGAGGACCGAGAAGGACAUACCUCUGGUGUACCAGUUAUCGUGCCAACGGUAAACGCUGGGUAGCUAUGUAUGGAGUGGAUAACCGCUGAAAGCAUCUAAGUGGGAAGCCCACCUCAAGAUAAGUA
RNAcentral lists this ribosomal RNA (1237 nucleotides) under metagenome. RNAcentral describes it as "bacterial LSU rRNA". It matches the Rfam family "Bacterial large subunit ribosomal RNA", at positions 1564 to 2810 of the family's 2925-position model. The record is from RNAcentral.